GAGAAUUAAGCAAGCAGGUAUAAUAGAAUAGACUCAGUUACAAUGAACUUCACUAGUCCACUGUAUCAAUAGGCCUAACUCUACAUACAACCAUCCAUACGAUAUUUUAGUAAUUACAUAUUGUACAUACAUGAUGGUGAUCAUGAUGAGGAUGAUGGUGACGUAGAACAGACAAACAUACAGUCAAGAAACAUGCAAAAUACAUAAAUGUAUAGUAAGAUGCAAUUUAAUUCCCUUUGCAGCUGUGACAUUAAAGUUAGUGUCAGUUAGAAUAAUUUGUGCUGUCCUAAGACAAAUACUUCCUGUACAGUGUGCGUACAGUAUAAUGAUGUGUGACUGAACAACAUGGCAAGGCAUGGCACAAGUAGUAGAGAGACACAAGCAUUGGAAAAUGUUAAGAUGAAGACUCCGCCCAUGAUCUACUGCAUAUGCAUUCACAGGGUAGGUACAUAUCAAGAGUCGCUUUAGGUGAAGAGAGAGAAGGACCACUGCCUUUAAAAUGAGUCUCUUUCAAGAAAGGAGAAGAGUUCAGCCUCUGAAAUGAGUCCUGCCGUGGAUUAGGACCCCUUCCAUGGAGCUAAGAAGUGAAAACAGUCUGUGCUGUAUGUUUGAGUAUCUGUGUGUGCAGAUAUGACUUGAGAUCUGAAAUCCUGCAAGGAGCUCAAUACAAUUCCAUCAUUUUCAGACAGUUUGAAUUAAAGCUGGAAUGUUUUUCUGUGUUGUCCUGAGGCCCCGUCCACAAGCAUAGACCGGCUGUAUGUCCAUGAAGAGUGACCAGUCUAUGAUGCUGCCAAUAGAAUUCAGACAGAAAGCUUUUCCUACAAAACAAGGGCCCAGCAUGAGAGAUCGGACUCACCUGUUACCUGUGUGUGUCCAUGAAGACUGCCUAUAGAAUUCAGACAGAAAGCCUUUCCUACAAAACAAGGGUACCUUCCCAUGCAUAUAUUUUUUGUUGGGUGACAUUUUAUUCAAAUCAAAUGUAUUUAUAUAGCCCUUCUUACAUCAGCUGAUAUCUCAAAGUGCUGUACAGAAACCCAGCAUAAAACCCCAAACAGCAAGCAAUGCAGGUGUAGAAGCACGGUGGCUAGUAAAAACUCCCUAGAAAGGCCAAAAUCUAGGAAAAACCAGGCUAUGAGGGGUGGCCAGCCCUCUUCUGGCUGUGCCGGGGUGGAGAUUAUAACAGAACAUGGCCAAGAUGUUCAAAUGUUCAUAAAUGACCAGCAUGGUCAAAUAAUAAUAAUCACAGUAGUUGUCGAGGGUGCAGCAAGUCAGCACCUCAGGAGUAAAUGUCAGUUGGCUUUUCAUAGCUGAUCAUUCAGAGUAUCUCUACCUCUCCUGCUGUCUCUAGAGAGUUGAAAACAGCAGGUCUGGGACAGGUAGCACAUCCGGUGAACAGGUCAGGGUUCCAUAGCCGCAGGCAGAACAGUUGAAACUGGAGCAGCAGCACGGCCAGGUGGACUGGGAACAGAAAGGAGUCAUCAUGCCAGGUAGUCCUGAGGCAUGGUCCUAGGGCUCAG
Long non-coding RNA from Oncorhynchus tshawytscha (Chinook salmon), 1517 nucleotides. Lineage: Eukaryota; Metazoa; Chordata; Actinopteri; Salmoniformes; Salmonidae. The record is from Ensembl.